AGAGGGUGCAAGUGUUGUUCGGAAUCACUGGGCGUAAAGGGCGUGUAGGCGGUGGAGUAUGUCUGACGUGAAAGCCCCCGGCUUAACCGGGGAAUGGCAUGGAAACUACUUCACUCGAGUGCGAGAGAGGGUGGCGGAAUUCCUAGUGUAGAGGUGAAAUUCGUAGAUACUAGGAGGAACACCUGAGGCGAAGGCGGCCACCUGGCUCGUAACUGACGCUGAGACGCGACAGCGUGGGGAGCAAACAGGGAUUAGAUACCCUGGUAGUCCACGCCGUAAACGAUGAUAACUAGAUGUUGGGAGUAUUGACCCUCUCAGCGUCGGAGUUAACGCAUUAAGUUAUCCGCCUGGGGAGUACGGCCGCAAGGCUA
RNAcentral lists this ribosomal RNA (371 nucleotides) under uncultured organism. RNAcentral's name for it is "partial 16S ribosomal RNA". It matches the Rfam family "Bacterial small subunit ribosomal RNA", at positions 527 to 896 of the family's 1533-position model. The record is from RNAcentral.